CUUGGUGUUUCUCGCGAAGGGGGUACACCUGUUCCCAUCCCGAACACAGCAGUUAAGCCCUUCAGCGCCGAUGGUAGUGCGGCAUGCGCCGUGUGAGAGUAGGCAGACGCCAAGA
This 115-nucleotide ribosomal RNA is filed under the name Planctomycetota bacterium. Lineage: Bacteria; Pseudomonadati; Planctomycetota. RNAcentral also lists the same sequence under 1 other name. The record is from RNAcentral.